CGGAUGUUUAAGUGGGAUGUGAAAUCCCCGGGCUUAACCUGGGGGCUGCAUUCCAAACUGGAUAUCUAGAGUGCAGGAGAGGAAAGCGGAAUUCCUAGUGUAGCGGUGAAAUGCGUAGAGAUUAGGAAGAACACCAGUGGCGAAGGCGGCUUUCUGGACUGUAACUGACGCUGAGGCACGAAAGCGUGGGUAGCAAACAGGAUUAGAUACCCUGGUAGUCCACGCCGUAAACGAUGGAUACUAGGUGUAGGGGGUAUCAACUCCUCCUGUGCCGCAGUUAACACAAUAAGUAUCCCGCCUGGGGAGUACGGUCGCAAGAUUAAAACUCAAAGGAAUUGACGGGGGCCCGCACAAGCAGCGGAGCAUGUGGUUUAAUUCGAAGCAACGCGAAGAACCUUACCUGGACUUGACAUCCCUUGCAUAGCCUAGAGAUAGGUGAAGCUUCGGGCAAGGAGACAGGUGGUGCAUGGUUGUCGUCAGCUCGUGUCGUGAGAUGUUAGGUUAAGUCCUGCAACGAGCGCAACCCUUGUUAUUAGUUGCUACCAUUAAGUUGAGCACUCUAAUGAGACUGCCUGGGUAACCAGGAGGAAGGUGGGGAUGACGUCAAAUCAUCAUGCCCCUUAUGUCCAGGGCUACACACGUGCUACAAUGGUAGGUACAAUAAGACGCAAGACCGUGAGGUGGAGCAAAACUUAUAA
RNAcentral lists this ribosomal RNA (698 nucleotides) under Clostridium botulinum. RNAcentral describes it as "bacterial SSU rRNA". It matches the Rfam family "Bacterial small subunit ribosomal RNA", at positions 576 to 1279 of the family's 1533-position model. The record is from RNAcentral. Lineage: Bacteria; Bacillati; Bacillota; Clostridia; Eubacteriales; Clostridiaceae.